This 505-nucleotide ribosomal RNA is filed under the name uncultured bacterium. Its description in RNAcentral is "partial 16S ribosomal RNA". It matches the Rfam family "Bacterial small subunit ribosomal RNA", at positions 30 to 523 of the family's 1533-position model. The record is from RNAcentral.
AUUGAACGCUGGCGGCAUGCCUUACACAUGCAAGUCGAACGGCAGCACGGGUGCUUGCACCUGGUGGCGAGUGGCGAACGGGUGAGUAAUACAUCGGAUCGUACCUUAUCGUGGGGGAUAACAAAUUGAAAAAUUUGCUAAUACCGCAUAAUACUCUGAGGAGGAAAGCGGGGGAUUCGUAAGACCCUCGUGCGAUUAGAGCGGCCGAUGGCUGAUUAGCUAGUUGGUGAGGUAAAGGCCCACCAAGGCAACGAUCAGUAGCAGGUCUGAGAGGAUGAUCUGCCACACUGGAACUGAGAGACGGUCCAGACUCCUACGGGAGGCAGCAGUGGGGAAUUUUGGACAAUGGACGAAGGUCUGAUCCAGCAAUGCCGCGUGAGUGAAGAAGGCCUUCGGGUUGUAAAGCUCUUUUGUCAGUGAAGAAAACUUUAAUAAUAACACUAUUAAAGCAUGACGGUAACUGAAGAAUAAGGACCGGCUAACUACGUGCCAGCCGCCGCAGUAA